Molecule: ribosomal RNA, 1431 nt
Filed under: uncultured organism
Description: 16S ribosomal RNA
Rfam family: Bacterial small subunit ribosomal RNA
Source: RNAcentral
CAGGCUUAACACAUGCAAGUCGAGGGGCAGCAUGGUCUUAGCUUGCUAAGGCCGAUGGCGACCGGCGCACGGGUGAGUAACACGUAUCCAACCUGCCGUCUACUCUUGGACAGCCUUCUGAAAGGAAGAUUAAUACAAGAUGGCAUCAUGAGUCCGCAUGUUCACAUGAUUAAAGGUAUUCCGGUAGACGAUGGGGAUGCGUUCCAUUAGAUAGUAGGCGGGGUAACGGCCCUCCUAGUCUUCGAUGGAUAGGGGUUCUGAGAGGAAGGUCCCCCACAUUGGAACUGAGACACGGUCCAAACUCCUACGGGAGGCAGCAGUGAGGAAUAUUGGUCAAUGGGCGAGAGCCUGAACCAGCCAAGUAGCGUGAAGGAUGACUGCCCUAUGGGUUGUAAACUUCUUUUAUAAAGGAAUAAAGUCGGGUAUGGAUACCCGUUUGCAUGUACUUUAUGAAUAAGGAUCGGCUAACUCCGUGCCAGCAGCCGCGGUAAUACGGAGGAUCCGAGCGUUAUCCGGAUUUAUUGGGUUUAAAGGGAGCGUAGAUGGAUGUUUAAGUCAGUUGUGAAAGUUUGCGGCUCAACCGUAAAAUUGCAGUUGAUACUGGAUAUCUUGAGUGCAGUUGAGGCAGGCGGAAUUCGUGGUGUAGCGGUGAAAUGCUUAGAUAUCACGAAGAACUCCGAUUGCGAAGGCAGCCUGCUAAGCUGCAACUGACAUUGAGGCUCGAAAGUGUGGGUAUCAAACAGGAUUAGAUACCCUGGUAGUCCACACGGUAAACGAUGAAUACUCGCUGUUUGCGAUAUACUGCAAGCGGCCAAGCGAAAGCGUUAAGUAUUCCACCUGGGGAGUACGCCGGCAACGGUGAAACUCAAAGGAAUUGACGGGGGCCCGCACAAGCGGAGGAACAUGUGGUUUAAUUCGAUGAUACGCGAGGAACCUUACCCGGGCUUAAAUUGCAGAUGAAUUACGGUGAAAGCCGUAAGCCGCAAGGCAUCUGUGAAGGUGCUGCAUGGUUGUCGUCAGCUCGUGCCGUGAGGUGUCGGCUUAAGUGCCAUAACGAGCGCAACCCUUGUUGUCAGUUACUAACAGGUUCCGCUGAGGACUCUGACAAGACUGCCAUCGUAAGAUGUGAGGAAGGUGGGGAUGACGUCAAAUCAGCACGGCCCUUACGUCCGGGGCUACACACGUGUUACAAUGGGGGGUACAGAGGGCCGCUACCACGCGAGUGGAUGCCAAUCCCCAAAACCUCUCUCAGUUCGGACUGGAGUCUGCAACCCGACUCCACGAAGCUGGAUUCGCUAGUAAUCGCGCAUCAGCCACGGCGCGGUGAAUACGUUCCCGGGCCUUGUACACACCGCCCGUCAAGCCAUGGGAGCCGGGGGUACCUGAAGUGCGUAACCGCGAGGAGCGCCCUAGGGUAAAACUGGUGACUGG